Molecule: long non-coding RNA, 2931 nt
Filed under: Marmota monax (woodchuck)
Lineage: Eukaryota; Metazoa; Chordata; Mammalia; Rodentia; Sciuridae
Source: RNAcentral
UAUAGUGUCUCCUGUUUCACUUAUUUUUUUUCUAAUUUUUUUUUUUUAGGUAGAUGGAUGCAAUACCUUUAUUUUAUUUAUUUUUAUGUGGUGCUGAGGAUUGAACCCAGUACUUCACAUGUGUGAAGAGAGCACUCUACCACUGAACCACAACCCCAGCCCACUUAUACUUUUAUUUAUUUGAUACAUAAUGGGAGAAGGACAGCCUCUUCAAUAAAUGGUGCUGGGGAAGCUGGUUAUCUAUAUGCCAAAUGAUGAAAUUAGACCCUUAUCUCAUACCACAUAACAAAAAUCAACUCAAGAUGAAUAAAAGACUUAAACCUAAGAGCAGAAAACUGCUAGAAGAAAGCAUAAGGAAAAAAGCUUCUUAACAUUUGUUUGGGCAGUGAUUUUUGUUUGUUUUGGAUAUGACCCCAAAAGCACCUGCCACAAAAGCAAAAAUACAUAUCAAACCAAGAAGCUGCACAGCAAAGGAAAAACUCACCCGUGAAGAGACAGCCUAUGGAUUGGCAGGAGAUAUUUGCAUACUGUACAUUUGAUCAAGAGUUAAUUUAUCUUGAAACAUGUAAUAAGUUCAGACAACUCAAUAGCUAGAAAACAAAUAAGUUGAUUGAAAAAGGAUCUGAAUGUACAUUUCUCAAAAGGAGACAUACAAAUGGUUAACAGGUAUGAGAAAAAAUGUUCAAAAUUAUUAAUCAUCAGAGAAAUGCAAAUUAAAACCACAGUAAGAUAUUACCACUUUUUAGAAUGGCUGUUAUGAAAAAGAUGAAAGAUAGGUGUUGGCAAGGAUGUGGAGAAAUAGGAACCUGUACAUUGCUUGUGGGUGUAAAUUAGUAUAUUGAUUAUGAAAAUAGAAUGGAGGUUCUUCAAAAAGUUAAAAAAUAUGAUCCAGAGUCCCACUUUGGGUAUAUAUUCAGAGGAAAUGAAAUCAAUGUAUUGAUUUUUUAUUCUCAUAUUCAUUUAAGCAUUAUUUACAGUAGUCAUGAAAAAGAAUUCUAAGGGUCCAUCAAUGACUGAAUGAAUAAAGAAAAUUUACUGUGUUGUAUGUGUGCGCUUGUGUGUACAGUAGAAUACUAUUCAGCCUUAAAAAGGAAGUCCAGUCAUUUGUGAUAACAUAGAUUAACUUGGAGGACAUUAUGCUAAAUGAAAUAAACCAGACAACAGAAAGAUAAAUACUGUAUCAUAUCACUUAUGUGUAGAAUCUAAAAGCAUUGAACUCAUAGAAGCAAAGAGUAGAGUUGGUUGUCAGGGUCUAGGGUAUUGGGAAGAAAGGCCAAAGGUUAUAAACUUUGAAUUAGGAUACAUACAGUCUGGGAGUCUAUUGUACAUCAUGGUAAUUAUAUGUAAUAGUAAUGUAUACAGCUGGUUUUCUGUAUCAGUAGGUUGUGCAUCCCUGAAUUCAAACAACUGCAGAUGGAAAAUAUUUGGAAAAGAAUCUGUGCAGAAUGCGUGCAGAUUUCCCCCCUUGUCAGUAUUCCCUUACUAAUCCACUAGAACAACUGUUUACAUUAUAUUAGGUAUUAUAACUAAUCUAGAGAUAUUUAAAGUGUAUGGGAGGAUGUGUUAAGAUUAUAUGCAAAUACUAUACCAUGUUGUUAUGUAAAGGACUUGAGCAUGAUGGGAUUUUGGUAUUUGCAAGGGUUUCUGAAAUCAGUCCCCUACAAAUACUAAGGAACUACUGUACUUGAAAAUUGCUAUGAAGAGUAGUUCUUUAAUGUUCACCACAAAAAAAUAAGAAUGUGAUAUGAUGGCUGUGUUAAUUAGCUUGAUUUUAUCAUUUUCAGGUUUGCAUAUAUCAAACUUUAUGGUGGACACUGUUAAUAUGUACAAUUUUUAUUUGUCGUUUAUACCUUAAUGAAGCUAGGGAAAACAAUAACUUCACUUGAUGCUUAUGACUUCGUACCACAUAAAGUCAUUUAAAAAGCAUUUCCCAUUGCAUAUGUAGUCUUUUUUUGUUGUUGUUAAGCAAACUCUUAACCUUAAUUAAUCUUUUUAUUUUCAUUCAAAAUUUCAAGCUUAAAAUAUGAGAAUUAUAUUUUCCUCUUGGGAUAUUUGUUUUGUACUGUGUUCUCCCACCCAAGUAUAUUUAAUAGAAGUAGACAGUGAAGACCAGUGUCUAGGGGUAUAGAUUCCUAAUCAAGACUACUUGGCUUUGGAUGUGGGCUCAUUUAUUAACUGUGUGAAUUUAUCCUCUUUGUACCUCAGUUUUCUUAUCUGUAUACUGGGGCUGAUAAUAGCGUCUAUCUCAUUAGAAGUAGACGUAAACAUAGAAUGAGCUUAAGGGUUAAAUAUAUGUAAAGUUCCUAGAACCAUGCCUAUUAUAUAAUACUGCUGCAUGUGGUAGUUUUUAUUGUAUCUCCCAUUCUCUCUUCAAAUCCUGUCUUCAAUUUAGGGUUAUAAGAGAAAUCCUGCUGUGUCCAUUUUUCUAAUGUAAGGAUUUAAAAAUCAAAAGAUGAAAAACAUUUGAAAUAUCAUAGAAAUACAUAAUAAUUAAAAUAAUUAUGGUCAUAUAAUCAAUGUUUGUAAACCAAACUUUAACUUAUAGUUUAGAAGUAUGUUUUGGAAAAUUGUUUAUAUUCAAUUGAUGAAGGUGAUAAAAUUUUGAUAUCUCAUUUGAAUGAUGAAAGCUCUUGCACUGUUGCCAUGGAUUGGUAGCUCAAGUUUAUUUUAUUAUGUAGACAUGUGUCUAAUAAAAAAAAAAUAGAUGCAGCAUGAACCAUCGUUUGAGUUUGAAUGUGCUUCUGUCUGGGGUUGAGGUAUAAAUGUUAUUUCUGGCUGUGUCCUUCAUACUUAGCUCUUCUUACAACAAAUGGAAAGUCCUCAAUUGUGCCUAAGGGAAUAGUUAACCCACAGUGGACAUAUGGUAGACAAAAGCUGAGUCUAAUAAAUAAAAUAAAAUUAUAAAUGAUAAACAUGUGAAGGCCUUCAAAG